RNAcentral lists this long non-coding RNA (6544 nucleotides) under Daucus carota (carrot). RNAcentral describes it as "long non-coding RNA (DCAR_LNC004303)". Lineage: Eukaryota; Viridiplantae; Streptophyta; Magnoliopsida; Apiales; Apiaceae. The record is from RNAcentral.
CCAUAAUAAAAGAUUUGAAAGAAAACAUUUAAACUUUAAUAAAUGAUUCGAAAGAGAACAUUUAAACCCCCUAAAAGCACAGGAUCGCAUCCAGGUUACAGUAUUGAAAUUAGAAUCUACCACUAUUAUUACACAACAUCUCUUACCAAAUCAGAUCAUCUUCGAUAAGAAGAAUUACUGCCAAUCUAUUCCAGCCAUGACCUACAUCUGAAUCUCUAUAGCACUGCUCUAGCUUGUACCAACCUCAUCAACUUUCCUGAACACUCCUCGACCACUUGAUUCUCAACUCUGUCUCCUCGCCUAGCAUUAGCCUUAUUCACGAUCUCAAUCAAUCAUUUCAUCUUUCAGCCUUUCUGAAAUGGUUAGAAGGGAAAAGCAAGGGUGAGCAACAAUGCUCAGCAAGUAAUAAUAAACAAUGAUAGUUCUGAAAUGAUAUAACAGAAAUUCACGAGUUCAAGAUAUAAGAGGAUUCAACCUGAGUUCAUGAGUUCAUGGUAUUGUAUAGAAUGAUUUACAAUACCUUGCAGCAUUUAAACUGAGAAAUUCAAUCUUUCCAAAGAAUUAUUGAAUUGGACUAUCACAUUUUAAUUAAAACCAAGGUUAGGCAGCUGAUCAGUUCCGCACUAACCCCGAGCAGGCCCCGCCAUGCUCUAUCACUGGAUCCAAGGCACUCAUUGGCCUAACAUGACCACGAAUCUGGUCCACAGGUUUAUAUAAAAACAAUAAUCCAAUUCUCUAAUUCAAUUCAAGAAGCCAAUGUAAAUUAACAGAACAUCAUCAUAAAUAUCAUCAACAACAGAAUAAUUCCAAUUCAAACUUUGAUAAUAAUCUAUUCAUAAAUCAUGAUCCAUCAUUUCAUAAAUCACAGUUCAGGAAAUCCUCAACUAUUCAGUAUCCUCCAUUAUCGGCUAAGCAACUGAAUUUAGCCUGCUAAACCAGCAUGACAAUGGCGGGUUGAAUAAUCAAGAAGAUCCCAAUUCAUUCAAAGCUCUAACUAUCACUGAGCAACACAUGCUUCAAUGACAAUCUGAACUUCGAAUUAAUUUGUAAAACGGAAAUUCUUUAGAAACUUGAAGAUUAGAAAGAAUGGGUCAGAAUACUCGCACUUUCGAACAUUGAAAAGAAAGGUAUGAAUACUUGAAACAUAUACCAAAGGAAUGGAUCAGAAUAUUUGCAAUAUAUCCAAGAGAAAGGUUUAGGAUACUUGCCUUAAAUCUGACUCCAGUCUCACAUCUCAAUCUCAUCUUUCCACUUUCACAAUCUAUGCAUCUCAUAGUCUCUAGACCAUCUCUGGCUAUACUCUAUCUACCGUACAUCUUCGCUUCGCUUACUCGAUUCAUCCCUUAUUCGCUUUGUAACACCACGUGACUUUCUGAACGUCUUCGGGCAUACACGUCUCGUCCAAAUCCUUUACGAGAAUAAGAUAACACUAUAAUCACUAAACAAUCGAUCGCAUAUACAUCUCACGUAUAUCAAUACCCACUUAUAUAUCCCUUUAAACUUAUCAGAUACCACGUAACACAUAAGCAUGCUUUAACUCUAACAUAUAGUCAAUCAUAUUCCACAUAACAUAUCACCAAUCAAUUAUCAUAUAAAUCCUUAUCGAAAAUCCGACAUCGUCUCGUCUAUGUAUAAGACUAUCCACCUAUUAUCCUAUCUCAAUCAUUAAUCAACCAACAAAAUCCAAUAGCUAUAAUCCAUAUAUUCUUAUCCAAUAUCAAUCAUACGAAUCAUUUAUCACUUCACAAUAUCAAAACUAACACGUACUUCACAUAAUCAUCACCUGAUAGCACUUAGAUCACAUAUUAUCACAUUAUGCAUACUUAUCAACAAUUAUUCACCUUAUAGACUCAGCCAUAUAGUCACAUCAUAUUAAAAUAGACGUUAUAAGCUUCUGUCUCUCUUUCGUUUCACUUGAUUCCGACUUACGGAUCAAAAGUUAUGCUCAAAACAGUUUUCUCACUCUCCUAUCGGCACAUAACACAUCCAACCAAUAGCAGACAACACACAACACAUAAGGUUUCCCAUCCCAAUUGAUAUUAAAUCAAGUCUUGGGUUAAAAAUGAUUUUUCGGGAAUUUUCCAGAAUUUUUAAACAUUUUUCGGAAUUAAAAUCGAUAAAAGAAUCACUUUUCGAAUAAAUAAUCAAGUCCCAAAUACUUGAAAUUGGACUUGAAAUCAUUCAUAAACAAUUAUCGAGCCUUGAAAAUAAUUUGGAAAAAUAUUUUAAAGCUCGAAACUAUUUUUCGGAAUUUUUAAAUCAAAAAGGAUUAAUUAAAUCCAAUUAAUUAAUCAAUUAAAAUCAAUUAAUAAUUAAUUAAAAUAAUUAAUCAAUUAAUAUUUAAAUUAAUUGACCAAUUAAAAUAAUUAAUUACUAAUUAAAAUUAAUUAAUAAACUAAUUUAGAUUUAUUUUUGAAUAAAGAAAUAAUUAAAAACUAUUUUUGGAAUUUAAAAUAAUUAAAUAAAACAAUUUUAGAAAAUUAAAUCAAAAGGUUUAUUUUGUAAACUUUUGAAAGUUUUGUCCAGGGUUUAAAGUGUAACUUUUCAAAGUUACAGGGGGUAAUUCAUAAGUUUCAAAACCUGAGUACAAAAACUUCAUCAUCUUCAAAACUUCGGUGACCAAACAGCAAUAAGCCGCCGGCCACCACACUAACUCGCCGGAAAUUCGUUUCCAGGCGUCCUCCACUCACCAUCUACUCCAGAUCAGUAGUACACACACCCAUAAAUCAAUCCCCCAUCUUUAAUUAGGCAGAAGUCGCGCGAAUUCGCCGGAAAAUCCGGCCGAAGUCGGCGACUUCCCGCCGCCGAUGGCGGCGAUUCGAGCCACCUCCGCUCAAACCAAGCACACCAGCAUACUCCCCUUUCUCUCCUCUUUCUAUUCAUAUAUACCACUACUGCCCAGAUUUAGCGGAACCCAUUUUCCGGCCAAAAUUCAAACUUUUCCGGCAACAAGCUCAAGAACACCAAGAACACAAUUUCAAUAAUCAAACUGACUUUUCUACAUGUUAUUGAACUCCGUUUUUGACAUAUAAUAUACCAAAACGACGAGAAAAACAUGCUCUACAUCAUAGAAUCAUCAAAUCACAUAAACGGAAUCGUUUGCAAAAAUUCAUCAUUUAAAUCAUAUAAACUCGAAUUUUAGAAAAAUAAUCUAAAAUCACCUGUUGAAUCUGCAUAUAAACGGAUGAUUAAACUUGAUUCUACGCGUCGAUAGCUUCGUUUUGACUAUUUAUACGCCUCCAUCGGAUUCCAAUAACACCUUCAAAUCUUCGUUUGAUUAUGAAGAACACGAAGAACACCGCUCGGUUUCUCUCGAUAUUCGUGCAGAGAAACUGUUGAAAUGAUUUCUACGGUGAAAAUAAGUUACAGGAAAGUCUAUUUAUAUUUACAAAUAAUUGGUACCCCUUUGGAUCGUUUAUGACAUGAAAAUACGUAUUUAAUAGCUUUAUAUUAAUAAAGCGGGGUCCAAUCGGUACCGGUUUUCGAGAUAAUCAUCAAAACGGGGCUUUUUAACUCAAUUAUUGGUCUGCGGGUCCCAUUGCAAUUAUUACAAGAUAAGGAUGAAUAUAAUAAUCAAAAUAUCUCGUUUCACGCUUAUCGAGACAAACUGGAUAAUUAUCAACAAUUAAAAUACCCGAAAAACUCCGCCGGACCGACUCCGGGGAAAACCGUACUCCGGAUCGAAAAAGUCAAAACACGAAAAAUGUCCGGAAUAUUCAAAUUAGGCUAAAGGUGAGUUUUGUUGAAACUUCCGGGAAGAAAAUUUGCUACCUCGUUACGAGUGGACGGUUUUACGGAAGUCAAAUAAUUAAUAAAUAAAUAUAAAUAUACGCAAUUAAAUCCGUAAAUCGAUUAUAAAAUCAUCUAACAUUCCAUAAAUCGAUAUGAAAAUAUCCAAAUAAACUAUAUUUUCUCCUGAGCAUAUAGAAAUUGAAAUCUCUCAAAUACGAACACAUAUGAGCAGUUAACGCAAUAAACCAGAUAAUAUAAAAUUCACAAAAAUUCAUAUAUUAAUCAUAUAAUACUCAUAAUUAACCAUAAUUAAUUAACCAACAAAUCCACCAAUACCACUUACUCACAUCACACAUAUAUUCACAUAAUAAUCAUCUAGAAUUUUCGAAACAAUAUAUGAAAAUCAGUUUUAAAAAUAUAAUCAUUUAUCAAUAACACAAUAACCCGGGGUUUAAUAUAAAAUUUUGAAAACUCCUUAAACUGGAAUAAAAUAUUAAAUCUUAUUCCUUAUUUAUUAAGAAGACCACUUAUAAUACUAAUAAAAAUAUUUUUUAAAAAUCCGGGUCAUUACAAUCUACCCUCCUUAUAGGGAUUCCGUCCUCGGAAUCAGAGAAAGAAGGAGGAUGCAUAAUCUGUAAAAUCCAUACUAAUCCACAACACAAGUAUAAUCACAUACAACUAUUCACAUAAUCACAUCAAUAUUCAACUAGAGCCAACAAUAAUAUCUAGACAAAUACAUUUAUAAUAAUCAAUUCUAAAUUUAAUAAUAUGGGAUAUUACAUUCUACCCCCCUUAUAAGGAUUCCGCCCUCGGAAUCCGCGAAGAAAACUAAAACGUACACGCUUCGUAAUAUCACAUGCUCAUCCGCCCUUAAUCAACCUUGGCAUACCUUUAAAGUUAAAGAAAUAGGAGAAUCAAAGCCUUCACAAUUUCAAACUUCAUUUCCCAAGAAUUAAUCUUUUGGAAAUUUUGAAUAGAACCAAAUGUUUUCAAGGUAGAUCACAUUUGAAUAAAGGAGUGACUGAGAGAUCUAUAUGAUCAACGAACUUGGUGUUGCGUGUCCACAUUAGACACUACUAAAGGUUGUUAACCUUCUUGUAAUCACAACACACACAAGUGAUGGCGUCCCAUCCAACUCCUAUCACACAGACAGGUAUACCUUGUGUCCCCUAUAAAUAGGGUUGUUCAUCCCAAUCAAAUUGAAGAAAUGCUAAGGAAUAUCAAAGAAUAUCAAAGAAUCUCGAGAAUAUCAAAGAACAUCAAGGGAUAUCAAGGAUGAUGAAAGAAUAUCAAGGAAUGUCAAGAAAUGUCAAACAAUAUCAAGGAACAUCACUAUCUCUUCACAACAAACCUUUAUCACACAUCUUUGCUUUCCAACUCAUACCAAUAAUCAAUAUCAAUGUCAUUUUAGAAUUUGGAGAAAUUGAAGAUCUCGUUUAUCGAAAUGAUAUCAUAAUAACUCACUGAUGAAAAACCUAUAAUCACAAGAAUCUUUAGUUGAAGAGAGGUAUUGCCAAGGUCUUCUCAAAUUCCCACUCUACUUUACGAAAUCGUUAUUCGAUUUAUGUCAUCCUUUCAACGUUCUCGAUAAUCAAUCGAUUUGACUCGUAAUAGCCUCGUAAGAUGUCAUCGUAGACGUUAUCGUCCGUAAUAACUCUGGCCCAUGUAGUUUACAUUCUUCUACUUUAUCCCAGUUGCCCUUGAAAUCCAUAGCACAAACACGUAACGUAUCUUCGAUUGUCUGGAUCAUCAACCUGUGGGUUAUGGGCCCACCUUGAUGCCAUUUGAAAUCCCGAUUAGCUCGAAGCGUUGUCGUCGAGGACUAACGUUCUAACUUACUCGUAGACAUCAUCUCUAAUAACUGGACUCAAUUCCACGUACUCUCUAUCAUUCACUUCUCACCUAUCAACCUCUAUCUACCAAUCUCUCCUUCUAAUCCAAUACAACUCAUACUCUACACUUACUCUUCAUAUCUUCACUCAAAACAAUAUACAUCUUCCAAAUAUCUGACAUGGUCAACAUACUAUGAACCAUGCAUUUAUAUCAUCCUCAAAUCAAUAUGAUAAUCCGGUUUCAAAUAUGCAGUAUAGUCAGAAUACUCUGAACUCUGCAUUUUCACCAUUCUCAAUUCAAUCAUUCACUAUCAAACUCUUCUAUCUAGGUCUAAUACUGACCUUUCCCACAAUUCACCAUCUCAAUUAGUCAACAUACUAGAAAUCAUAUGUCUAACUUAGGAAUCAAAAUCUCUCUAAACUUCUACACUCAACUUGAUCGUCUAACCAGAUUCUAUACCUCUAUCACAUCUCUAGACUAUUUCUAAAUAGUCUCACAAUACCUCUAUACGAGGUCACCCAACAUUCUUCUCUAGAAAACCUAUAACUAUGAUCUAUAUUCUAAUUUCAAAUACUUAUAACCUGUUGCUCUGAUACCAACUGUGACGGUCCAGAAAUCCGGGGGUCUGGAUUCUGACGUCACCACAUAAAACCCAUUUUUAAACACUUUUGAAAACUCGUAUUUUUUUUUUAAUGAUAAUAUAAGUCAAAGGAUUUAAAACUGGAAAUUCAAACUUGAAAGCCAUAAUAAAAGAUUUGAAAGAAAACAUUUAAACUUUAAUAAAUGAUUCGAAAGAGAACAUUUAAACCCCCUAAAAGCACAGGAUCGCAUCCAGGUUACAGUAUUGAAAUUAGAAUCUACCACUAUUAUUACACAACAUCUCUUACCAAAUCAGAUCAUCUUCGAUAAGAAGAAUCACUGUCAACUAUUCCAGCUUGCACCAACCUCAUCAACUUUCCUGAACACUCCCCGACCACUG